CCGCCUGCCUCCUGUCAACAGCGGCUGUCAAUAAAGUUGGAGCAUUCAAAGCAGGAGGACGAGGCGCGAGUAGGGGCUGGAUAGGGAAGGGGAGCCAGUCCUCUACAAGAUAAAAGCAAAAUACUGCAGAUACUGGAAAUCUGAAACAAAAACAGAAAAUGCUGGAAAAACUCAGUAAGCCUAACAGCAUCUGUGGAGAGAAAAACGGAGUUAACGUUUCGAGUCCGUAUGACUUUUCUUCAGAGCUCCUCCAUUGUGAUGUAAGCCCAUCCCAUUGUGUUGCUAGGGACAAAGCUCUUCAAUGUGGCAGUGGAUCACAAUGGCCGUUCACUUGUCAACCCAUACCUGCUUGGAUUUACAUGAGUGCCUUGAUGAUACCUCUCCUAUAGCAUGGACAAUUGUAUAUGCCAUGUCUUCCACCAUAGGUGCAGUCUUCAGAUAUCCAUCACAGUGACCUCUGUGUGCUCUGCCAAACAACUCACCUUGCCAAACUGCAGCAGCUCGUCGAACCUCAUGCAGCAGUGGAUCCAGGGGCACUAAUCUUCACCUGCUGUGUUCACGAUGGAUGCAAUCUGCUACCAUGAUCUCUUCAUCACAUUAGGCGCAUUCCUCCUUCCUCUAGGGGAUAUGAUCUUCCUCCUUCACUACAUCUCUUCGACCAGGAUCUUGAGGUCCUAGUCACAGAAGCAGGGCGUCGUCCCUCUCACAUCUUCAGCAGCUAGUCUUCUCUGCGACAUUCUGGCAAGCCAAUGAAGAAAGUAAGGCUUCUAGCUUCAUCCAUCACCACACAUAACCUAUGUCCUCCACUCACAUGCAGGAACUGGAGGUUGGGGCGGGGUGGUUGCAUGAAUGCAGGAUGGCCUGGUAUUUGUUCCUGUCACAUCAAAAUGGCAUGUUGCGCUCCCGAGUGUACAAGACCCUGCUGGCCUGCUCCCUCUGAGUCACACAAGUCUACCAUGACAAUAUCCUGCUGUGAGAAUAACGGGCAAGGCACAAUUGGAUUCCCGCACUCUGAUGGUGGUGAAAGGGUAGGUGGGAAGGGCAAAGGUUCUGCAAGUGGGUCCAACAAUCAGCCCCUGAGGCAUUAUGCUAAUCUGUGUUAAUACAAAAUGUCGAAACCAUCUGAUGUUGCCAAGUUGCUGCCAUCUCCAUGGCUGAUCUUGUGAAGCUUUGCCAGCCACAGGUCACUACUGUGUGUUCCUUCAUUCCAUGAGGUCAAUAGGCAGCAUUAAUCCCUAUAUUUCCCAAUGGAAGGCCCAAUGAUGAGCCAUCUCUUACAGUGUCAGUAACCAGUUGGACAACUAUUACAGUUAAGUCCUCACCUGACUUGAUAUAGACAUCUUCUCCCAUGAUCCAGCAGCAACACCAUUAGCUUCCUGCCUUCAUAGCAGGAGCUGCUUACAGGGGUGUCCUUUAUAUUGUGCCCAAGCCAUACUCCACACACAGGCCCACCUCCACAUCCAAUCUGCUUCUGGGUUCGAUGAGCCCAACUCUGUCCCGCACCCAUUCCCCUAGAACAGAGAUCGUGCAGUCCUGGGGUCUUUCUACUGAGGCAGGUGCCAUGCGGCAAGUCUGGCAAUUCCCCGACUCAAGCUACUCGCCUCAGUAGUGAAAUCCAGGCCAUAGUGUCUGUUACCUGUGACAUUUGUUUCAUGGUUUCUUCUUUCAAACCUGUAUCGGUCAGUUCCUCCGAUUCCAUAGCAACCCAAGAUUUUUCCUUGGGGUUUAGCAGUUGCCUUUGAGAGGUAAUGUCUGUAAUGUUCCUUCUCCGCUUUCUGCGAUUUAGCCAUCACUAAAGUUCAUCUUGGUGUCAGGGAUGUCCCCACCUUAAAAGACAUUCUGAAGAAAUAAGAUUCAAGUAAUUUGCUUGAGUUACAGAGCAUGCACAAGGAGCUAAAUGGUUCCUUUCUCUGCUGUAAUUUCUAUGAUUCUAUGAGAGGGGUUAAGCCACCUCUGUUUGGUUGGACUGUAAAGUGCAAAAUUUACCGAUGUAAUGGAAAUUAUUACUUUUAAUCACUUAAGAUAGUAAUCAUUUACCCUUUUGUCUAUGAUCUUUGCAAUUUUCUCAUCAGAGAGCCAUGAGUCCUAAAGUCAUGUGACCUGCUUGUCUGGUAUACAAGAGGCCACUCUGUCACCUGUGAAAACCUCACCUGAUUGAUGAAUUUUUCAUUGCAUGUUUCACAAAGCCUAUUCCGUUUUACUCCUUUACAAACUCAAGGAAGCAAUGCUUGUUUAUAAAGCUGUUGGUUGAUGCCAGGCAGUGUAAGAUACCUUAGUUAUGCAUAUAGAUAGGAUUAGGAUUCAGCUUAAACUCAUUGGAUUAAAGUUUUGACUUUUUUAAGCUUAUGGAUUUACCGUUGCCAGAAAUAAUUAAAUGAUUGAAGUUGCUUAUUCCAGUGCACUUUAGGGUUUAAUGUGUUAGGUUACAAAUUAGCUGAUCUAUGCUGUUUAUUUUUUGCUGAAAUUGCAGCAUGUGUGACUCAUGCCUCUUGACUUAAUUUUGUGACCACGUUGUGAAGCGAGCUAGCCAGGUGUUACAGUCAUGUCAUAUGACCGUAAAGCCUAUGGAGAUGGACAUUUUACUUUUAAAAAGCAACAUGGAAUAUGGACACUGUACCCUCACAAAAUGGAGUCCAGAGAGUCAGAUGACUUAUUUUGUGUUCUCUGUACAGACAGUGACAGACACUUCUGAACAUAUCUGUGGGAAGUUACUCAAAAUGCAAAUAGACUUCCCAGGUGCCAAUUGACUCCCCUCACCAUUUCAGCAGAAGGGAAUUAAAAUGACAAUGACUGCUAGACUUGCCAGUUCCAUGAAGAUGGAAUUUCAAAUAAAGACAUUUCGGAAGUUAAUCAAAGCUGUAACGUUGAUGAGAUAGCAAACACCCUUUGUUGUGUGGCAAAUUGCUUGACCAUCAACCCAUUGUGCAGACAAUGGAAAAUAUCAAUGCUGUUGUUACAUGACAGGAACCCGCUUGUGAUAAGGCAUAUCUGCAACUACCUUAUUAAUCUACUAGUACAGCCCAGGGCAGGUCAGUCUUGGAUAUGGAGACUUAGGAGAAGCCAUAUCCCACCCAGAUCAGGGAGAAACCUGCCUCAAAAAUCAUCUUAAGCAGAGAAGAGGGGUAAUUUGUUUUACCGGCAAGAUUAUAUUCUUUCAAUUCAGGAGUCAGUCCACAAUCUCAUCUGAAGCAGCCAUAAACUUCCAACCUCCAUUGUCUCUAAUGAACCAGAAGAGAAACCUUCAGGUCUGCAACAUUUCAACCACCAUCUUAAGGACUAUGUAACCAAGUGACCUGUUUCUUUUUACUCUGUUAGUAAUCUAAGUGCAUGCUCCAUCUUUAGAAACCAUCUUUCUUUGUGUGCAAGUGCCUGGGUGUUUGCUGCGUUAAUUUUUGGGUGUUGUGAAAAAUAAUUGUUUAUCCUUUCUUUUGACUUAAACUUAUAAGAAAGGCUGUUUGUGUCUGUUCUUUAACGUCACAGCACUCGAGGUAAAAACACUCCUUCCCUUAGUAAUAAAGUAAAUCUUAUUGCGGUCAGCCGAUACAUGAGAAAAGGGAACAAAUUAUCUCACACCUGUCCAUAACACAGGACAGCCUUGAGAUAGGAAGUGAGACAAUAAAACAGGAUGAUAAAUAAGUUGGCACCUGGUGCUUAGAAGAUCCAAUUUCUGGGUGUUCAUGUUCAUAGUAACACCGUCAUGCCAUACUGAAUCAGCAAUGACCAGUGGGUGGAAUUUUACACUUCUGUCACAGCGGGGCAGGGCCAUAGAGUACGGCGAGCCAUUCAAAAGUCCGCUCACUUUGGCAGGCCCGUAAAAUCCUGCCGUCUAAAAUUCCGCUGUUUCUGACAGAAAUGGUUCAUAAAAAUCUUAGGCUUUUCUUAACAAUUUGUAGAGAGAGCCAGAUCAGAAAGGAUCGAGAAGGUUAUUUUUCUACACAGGGUAAAGGGUAAUAUUAUUUAUUUUUCUGUAUGUCUACUGCUCAGAAAGACUACAUUUGCCUGGAUUUGGUUAAAUACAAUAAAAGUAUCUUGUCAACUAUAUGUUUCCAGAUUCAGAUUGCUUACUACAGUUGACAGGGAGAAGUACAGUUAAAAGCCACAUUUUUAGAGUAACGUGACCAAAUUUUACUGCUGAAGAAUCUAUAUUCUUCUUUCUGUCAGCCAUUUCUCUCCCUAGCUUGCUAAUAGCUUCAAUGUCCCUGCUAGUGAUGUGCUGCUUAAUUGAACCUUCAGGCAAAUAGCACACAACACAUGAAAACAUUUCCUUUAGGGAUUCCCCUGUCCCUGUGCUUUGAAAAUGAAGAAUUGCAGGAUAAGGAGGAGCAAGUCAGGAAGUUCAGACUCAAAAAGCACCAUUAGGGGCAUGUGAAACCCACCCACAAGUACCCACACCCAUAUUUAUAUAUUUAGGAAGUCAUAUUACUUCCUCUCUCAUGACAAUGUUUAAAAAGGCUGUACUUCUCUUGUGAAGCAAUAUAGGAUUUGCACUGCCUGUUUGCCUGAAGCUCAACUCCAUUCGUAGUGUGGCACUGACAGUAUGCAAAGGCCCCUUUCAGAGUGGAUGUCAGCCAAUAACACCUCAAUCUGUAAAUAUGAAGGCUCAGUGCCUUGAAGGGCCAACAGUCUCAGACACUGCAAUGGUGUAACUUGUAAUGGACACAAGUCAACUGCAGUAGUCUCGAAAAUGCACCGGAUUUCCUUUACCCAAGCCUCUCUCUAUCAGAUCUCCCUCAGCCAUUCCCUCCCCUACCUGCAGCAAACUCCCAGUAGAGGGUUAAAAUAACCCAUCCACAGUUGGGUGACUUAAGAGGGAAGGAUGGAACAGUAGUGGUGUCACACCAGUGGAGGGAAGUCCAGUCCUGAAGUUUGUCCAGCAAUGACCCUAAAAUGAAGAAAAGAUCUAGCUCUGGAUGUGUGACAUAGCUACUAACAGUUUAAUACCAUGUUAUUAAAUUUAUCAUUGUCACACAGAAGAGUCAAAAUCACUGGAUGUAGCUUGUGUGCUUAUCAAAUAGGUAUUACAGUUCUCCUUCAAAAAAAACCUGUUUUUCUAUGAUGCAUGAAGAGUCUAUCAACAUGCUGCUCAGCCUUGCAUGAAAAAUAAGUCAUUUAUGGCAAUGGAUCAUUUACUCACUCUGCUUCAUGACAAAACCUGUGAGUUUGUUACCUUUUCACUUCACCAGUGUUACUUAGCGUGCAUUCUCUGCCUUUUUUAAUCUUUAAAUAUUUCAGAAGGUAUUUUUCAAAGAAAUGGAAUAGAAUAGAAUCUCUAUUAUCUUAACUUCCAUUAUUUUGCAGAAUAAAGAUUUUUGAGACG
Molecule: long non-coding RNA, 5317 nt
Organism: Carcharodon carcharias (great white shark)
Lineage: Eukaryota; Metazoa; Chordata; Chondrichthyes; Lamniformes; Lamnidae
Exons: 2
Source: RefSeq, a predicted model, not a curated record